CACUCAUCACAAGACAAGAGAAGAAGAAAGGGAGGGAGCACUAUCGCCGGCGGCCAUGGCGUGCCUCUUCCCUAUCCCAGAUCAGAUCCAGCACACCCCCAACCGCAUCCACAACCCACGCCGCUGUGGCUCCCAAUCCCUCCCAUGCAGCCGCCGCUGAUGCCUUCUGGACCGCCACCUCGAAGGGACGGCGACAUCGACUAGAACGUCUUCCUCCCCCAGCGACAACGACGUUCUUCGCCACCGUCGUGGUCAUGCUGCAGCGACCAGUAGAGGAACUCCUCCAGUAGAGGGGGGGGGUCCUCCCUUGCUUCCUUGUCCACCACGAAGCACACACGGGCAGGGGAGGAGCCGCGGCGUCCAACCUCCAUAGCCCCCCGAAGCCGACAAAUCAUCUGACGCGUGAGUGCCUUCUCUCCUUCUCCCUCCUCUGCUUCUUCCUUCUUCCCCCGAACUGAUGUGUGAUGUGCACACAGAGGCAGUUGAAGGGGCCAGGCCAUGGAGAGGCUGCAUUGCCAUGGACAUGCCAGAGAGGAGUACAUUCUUGGCCGAUGUAGAAGCUGCGGGAGAGGAGGGCUCUGAUUGCGUGUUGUAUACAUAAUAAAACCAAAAAUAGGAGCAGUUUCAGUCAUGCAACCCUCCUCCCCUCCCCUUAUCUUCUUCUUCUGGAUUUGUUCUGAUCCGUGCAUUUGGUUUGUGCAGGCCAUCACCAAGCUGCUGCCGGUGUGCCCGCCAAGGUGCCUGAUUUGGGCAGCUCGACGGCGGCAAGCAACCCUAGCCCGCUCCACCGAGCGCACCAAGGUGCCUAAUUUGGCACCUCGACGACGACGAGCAAUCCCACCCUACUCCACCGAGCCCACCAAGGUGCCUGAUUUGGAAGCUAUGGAGGCCAUCACCAAGGUCCUGCGAGUUUAAAGGAGUAGAAGGUCCAAGGGUCUGCCCACCAAGGCCGCCUAGCAACAAUGCAGGGGUGAUGGCAACACCUUUCUCCCUCAAAGGAUGGCAAGAUUGCAACCAACCA
Long non-coding RNA from Triticum dicoccoides, 1021 nucleotides. RefSeq lists it as uncharacterized. Lineage: Eukaryota; Viridiplantae; Streptophyta; Magnoliopsida; Poales; Poaceae. The transcript is spliced from 3 exons. The record is from RefSeq and is a predicted model, not a curated record.